This 278-nucleotide long non-coding RNA is filed under the name Salvia miltiorrhiza (redroot sage). RNAcentral's name for it is "long non-coding RNA (SMIL_LNC003865)". The record is from RNAcentral. Lineage: Eukaryota; Viridiplantae; Streptophyta; Magnoliopsida; Lamiales; Lamiaceae.
CAAUUUAUAAGCUACUAAUAAUCUACAUCUUAGAGCAUCUCCAAUGCAUUGGAUCUUAGAGUGAGUCUUAAAUCCUCAUUUCCACAAAAUUCACAUUUUUUACACUUUUAUUUUAAAUUUCAAAUUUUAUUAAAAUUAAAUUAAACAUUGCAAUAAAAAUAAAAUUACAUAAUUUAAAUAAUAAAAAAAUUACAUAAUUUAAAUAAUUAAGAUUUUAAAAGAAAAAAAAAACAAAAUUCCCCACCCCCACCGACUCCCCUUUUCUUCUUUCUUUCCCC